RNAcentral lists this ribosomal RNA (425 nucleotides) under uncultured prokaryote. RNAcentral describes it as "bacterial SSU rRNA". It matches the Rfam family "Bacterial small subunit ribosomal RNA", at positions 355 to 796 of the family's 1533-position model. The record is from RNAcentral.
CAGGGAAUAUUGCACAAUGGGCGAAAGCCUGAUGCAGCGACACCGCGUGCGGGAUGAAGGCCUUCGGGUUGUAAACCGCUUUCAGGAGGGAAGAAACUGACGGUACCUCCAGAAGAAGCUCCGGCCAACUACGUGCCAGCAGCCGCGGUAAUACGUAGGGAGCGAACGUUGUCCGGAUUUAUUGGGCGUAAAGGGCUCGUAGGCGGUUCAACAAGUCGGUCGUGAAAGCCCGGAGCUCAACUCCGGGAUGCCGGUCGAAACUGUUGUGACUUGAGUUCGGUAGAGGUGAGUGGAAUUCUCGGUGUAGCGGUGGAAUGCGCAGAUAUCGAGAGGAACACCAUUAGCGAAGGCGGCUCACUGGGCCGAUACUGACGCUGAGGAGCGAAAGCGUGGGGAGCAAACAGGAUUAGAUACCCCCGUAGUCC